Molecule: ribosomal RNA, 632 nt
Filed under: Microcera larvarum
Lineage: Eukaryota; Fungi; Ascomycota; Sordariomycetes; Hypocreales; Nectriaceae
Also listed under: 1 other name
Description: partial 28S ribosomal RNA
Rfam family: Eukaryotic large subunit ribosomal RNA
Source: RNAcentral
GGUUGACCUCGGAUCAGGUAGGAAUACCCGCUGAACUUAAGCAUAUCAAUAAGCGGAGGAAAAGAAACCAACAGGGAUUGCCCUAGUAACGGCGAGUGAAGCGGCAACAGCUCAAAUUUGAAAUCUGGCCCUUGGGUCCGAGUUGUAAUUUGUAGAGGAUGCUUUUGGUGCGGUACCUUCCGAGUUCCCUGGAACGGGACGCCAUAGAGGGUGAGAGCCCCGUCUGGUUGGAUACCAAUCCUCUGUAAAGCUCCUUCGACGAGUCGAGUAGUUUGGGAAUGCUGCUCUAAAUGGGAGGUAUAUGUCUUCUAAAGCUAAAUAUUGGCCAGAGACCGAUAGCGCACAAGUAGAGUGAUCGAAAGAUGAAAAGCACUUUGAAAAGAGGGUUAAACAGUACGUGAAAUUGUUGAAAGGGAAGCGCUUGUGACCAGACUUGGGCCCGGUUAAUCAUCCACCGUUCUCGGUGGUGCACUUGGCCGGCCCAGGCCAGCAUCAGUUCGGCGCGGGGGAUAAAGGCUUCGGGAAUGUGGCUCCUCCGGGAGUGUUAUAGCCCGUUGUGUAAUACCCUGUACUGGACUGAGGUUCGCGCAUCUGCAAGGAUGCUGGCGUAAUGGUCAUCAGCGACCCGUCUU